AUGCCACCACACCCUGCUAAUUUUUGUAUUUUUAGUAGAAAUGGGGUUUCACCAUAUUGACCAGGCUGGUCUCAAACUCCUGACCUUGUGAUCUGCCCACCUCAGCCUCCCAAAAGAAAGCUUCUAGAACAGCAUGUGGACAGGAGAUAUUGAUGUUGUGGAUUGUAACUCUGCUCUGGGAUCCAGGCUGAAGGAGCAGUCUCUAUCUGGUCUCCAGACAGAAGAAAAAGAGACAAUGAAGUGUCCUCAACCUUGGCAAAGUAAACCUCUACAUGGAUUGAGAUCUGUCUCAGACACAUUUUGGUUUCCAUGACUUCUGAAUGGCAGCAUGAGGAGCUCCAUGAACCGUCUCCCCAGUGAAAUGACCAUAACCACUGGAAAUUACUUAAGAUCAAAGCCACAACCAUUUAAAGCCUUUGGAAAUUGUUUUAAGGGGACAUGGCAAAUUAAUACAUUUUUAUUCAAGAAAAUGUGCAAAGUCUCAGUAAGAACAGUGAGAGUCAAUAACCUUUGUACCACAAAGGACUUCCUCCCUCCUCCUCCUCCUAGCUCAGCAUUAUGGAAAAGUUACUCUAAGUAGGUGAAGCCAAGAACACAGGCUACCUCUUCCCCCAGCUCUCAGUUGAGGACUACUAUAUAUCCCUGGGAGGGACAGGCUGCCAGCAUUUCUCAUGCCCUCCAGUUUCAUGCUGCAAAAGCUCUCCUUUGGACAAGACUGGCUGAUAAAUCUGGGGCUCACUUCCUAAACCUGCCCCCACUCAUAUGGCAGAAACUCCACCUCGGCCAUGGCAGGCUAAGCAUACUGGAGCCUGUGUUACCCUGGCCUCAGCUUGCUCAUGGGGCAGAGAUUCUUUACAGGAAAGGCAAGCCCAGAAGAACAAAAGCCACCGCUCUGUCCAGCACUCUGCUCAUAAAGCAGGAUUGUCAUCCUGAGAUAAGGGGGCCACUGUCUCUGCCUGAGUUCCCCACGCUCCAGAGCAGUGGCGCAGAGGUUUUGCCCAAGGAGAGAGGCAGGCCAUAGAUACAGAGACCUCUGAAGUUCUUCCCAAGAGAACACUUUAUGUGGAACACAAUGUGGGAAAGUUCAAGUGUAAGGGUGUUCUCAAAAACAAUGAAGAUUUUGUUGGUAAGCAAUUAAGAGGAGCCUGGGAACUCCAUUCAAACAACAAGCUGAACUGUAGACCAGCUAGAAGUGUCCUGGAGAGAACCAGGGAAAGCAUCAGCUAAGAAGAGCCCUCCUGGUGUUAGCAUAAGCCUCAAACACCUACCUGAAAGAUUACCCUUGCAAAGGGGCUCAAAUUUAACAUACAAGACAGGAGCAAUUCAUGCCUCCAGGGGAUUGUCAAACACAAAAGAACAAUCAGCCAGCAGUUGAUGGAGGCUUAACAGCUGGAUGUGAUACCGUAGCAGGCUGACAGCUUAAUAAAGAGAUAAGUUAAGAAUGACAUCAGGAAGAGGAAUGCAUGGUGACUAAGAAGAAGUCAUCGUUAGCCAGUCACCUGUCAGAUAUUCUGUAUGUGCCAGGUACUGUUUGAUGCACUUUGCAUCUGUGAACUCAUCUGCCACUCAAAGGACCCCAUGAGACAAGCACUUCACUGUCUUCUGCAUUUUACAGAAGAAAGUGGGGAACAGAGACGUGCUGUACCUGCCCAAAGUCACAAGACUAGGAAGGAUGGAACCAGGAUCCAAGCCCCAGCGGCAGAGCUUCCAAAUCCCAUUUCUCUGAACCAUCCCCCAUGGACGCAGAAUAACAAAAAUGACAAACUGAGUGAAUUGCUGAUUUUCCCUGAAGAGAAUAAAUA
Molecule: long non-coding RNA, 1802 nt
Organism: Rhinopithecus roxellana (golden snub-nosed monkey)
Lineage: Eukaryota; Metazoa; Chordata; Mammalia; Primates; Cercopithecidae
Exons: 5
Source: RefSeq, a predicted model, not a curated record